RNAcentral lists this non-coding RNA (80 nucleotides) under Methylophaga thalassica MP. RNAcentral describes it as "Methylophaga aminisulfidivorans MP SAH (S-adenosyl-L-homocysteine) riboswitch aptamer". It matches the Rfam family "SAH (S-adenosyl-L-homocysteine) riboswitch aptamer". The record is from Rfam by way of RNAcentral. Lineage: Bacteria; Pseudomonadati; Pseudomonadota; Gammaproteobacteria; Thiotrichales; Piscirickettsiaceae.
UCGAAUAAGGAACGCUGCAACAGGUCAUUCACCUGCUAGGCUUAUUCAAUACUUAAUUAUUUAAACUGCGUUCAUUAUUA